CCUACGGGAGGCAGCAGUGAGGAAUAUUGGUCAAUGGACGAGAGUCUGAACCAGCCAAGUAGCGUGAAGGAUGACUGCCCUAUGGGUUGUAAACUUCUUUUAUAUGGGAAUAAAACGUUCCACGUGUGGGAUUUUGUAUGUACCAUAUGAAUAAGGAUAGGCUAACUCCGUGCCAGCAGCCGCGGUAAUACGGAGGAUCCGAGCGUUAUCCGGAUUUAUUGGGUUUAAAGGGAGCGUAGGUGGAUUGUUAAGUCAGUUGUGAAAGUUUGCGGCUCAACCGUAAAAUUGCAGUUGAAACUGGCAGUCUUGAGUACAGUAGAGGUGGGCGGAAUUCGUGGUGUAGCGGUGAAAUGCUUAGAUAUCACGAAGAACUCCGAUUGCGAAGGCAGUUCACUGGACUGCAACUGACACUGAGGCUCGAAAGUGUGGGUAUCAAACAGGAUUAGAUACCCCUGUAGUC
RNAcentral lists this ribosomal RNA (460 nucleotides) under uncultured bacterium. Its description in RNAcentral is "partial 16S ribosomal RNA". It matches the Rfam family "Bacterial small subunit ribosomal RNA", at positions 338 to 795 of the family's 1533-position model. The record is from RNAcentral.